RNAcentral lists this ribosomal RNA (364 nucleotides) under uncultured bacterium. Its description in RNAcentral is "partial 16S ribosomal RNA". It matches the Rfam family "Bacterial small subunit ribosomal RNA", at positions 338 to 716 of the family's 1533-position model. The record is from RNAcentral.
CCCACGGGAGGCAGCAGUGGGGAAUAUUGGACAAUGGGGGGAACCCUGAUCCAGCGACGCCGCGGGAGUGAAGAAGGAGUUCGGGAGGUAAAGCUCUAUCAGCAGGGAAGAAAGAAAUGACGGUACCGGACUAAGAAGCCACGGCUAACGACGUGCCAGCAGCCGCGGUAAUACGUAGGGGGCAAGCGUUAUCCGGAUUUACUGGGUGUAAAGGGAGCGUAGACGGCGAUGCAAGUCUGAAGUGCAAGGCGGGGGCCCAACCCCCGGACUGCUUUGGAAACUGUAUGGCUGGAGUGCAGGAGAGGUCCGUGGAAUUCCUUGUGUAGCUGUGCACUGCGUAGAUAUUAGGAGGAACCCCAGUGGC